This 811-nucleotide ribosomal RNA is filed under the name uncultured Pseudomonadota bacterium. RNAcentral describes it as "bacterial SSU rRNA". It matches the Rfam family "Bacterial small subunit ribosomal RNA", at positions 116 to 903 of the family's 1533-position model. The record is from RNAcentral. Lineage: Bacteria; Pseudomonadati; Pseudomonadota.
CGUAGGUAAUCUACCCUAGAAUCUGGAAUAACCUGCCGAAAGGCGGGCUAAUACUGGAUAGAGCGAUGGAAUCCGUAAUUGGGUUUUUCGGGAAAGGGAGCUCGCAAGAGCCUUCGUUCUAGGAUGAGCCUGCGUCUCAUUAGCUAGUUGGUGGGGUAAUGGCCCACCAAGGCUUGGAUGGGUAGCUGGUCUGAGAGGAUGAUCAGCCACACUGGAACUGAAACACGGUCCAGACUCCUACGGGAGGCAGCAGUGGGGAAUCUUGCGCAAUGGACGAAAGUCUGACGCAGCCACGCCGCGUGAGUGAAGAAGGCCUUCGGGUUGUAAAGCUCUGUCGUGCGGGACGAACAUCUUAGGUGUUAACAGCAUCUAGGACUGACGGUACCGCAAAAGGAAGCACCGGCUAACUUCGUGCCAGCAGCCGCGGUAAUACGAGGGGUGCAAGCGUUGCUCGGAAUUAUUGGGCGUAAGGGGUAGGUAGGUGGUCUCAUUUGUUUGGGGUGAAAGCCUUGGGCUUAACCUAAGAAGUGCCCCAAAAACGGUGAGACUGGAGUCCUGGAGAGGGUCGUGGAAUUCCCGGUGUAGCGGUGAAAUGCGUAGAGAUCGGGAGGAACACCAGAGGCGAAAGCGGCGACCUGGACAGGUACUGACACUCAACUACGAAAGCGUGGGGAGCAAACAGGAUUAGAUACCCUGGUAGUCCACGCUGUAAACGAUGGGUACUAGGUUUGGCGGGUCUUGACCCCUGCUGAACCGGCGCUAACGCACUAAGUACCCCGCCUGGGAAGUACGGUCGCAAGACUAAAACUCA